Molecule: ribosomal RNA, 500 nt
Filed under: uncultured bacterium
Lineage: Bacteria
Description: partial 16S ribosomal RNA
Rfam family: Bacterial small subunit ribosomal RNA
Source: RNAcentral
AUUGAACGCUGGCGGCAUGCCUUACACAUGCAAGUCGAACGGCAGCACGGGAGCAAUCCUGGUGGCGAGUGGCGAACGGGUGAGUAACGUAUCGGAACGUGCCCAGUCGCGGGGGAUAACGUAGCGAAAGUCACGCCAAUACCGCAUACGAUCUAUGGAUGAAAGCGGGGGCACGCAAGACCUCGCGCGAUUGGAGCGGCCGAUAGCAGAAUAGGUAGUUGGUGGGGUAAAGGCUCACCAAGCCGACGGUCUGUAGCUGGCCUGAGAAGACGACCAGCCACACGGGGACUGAGACACGGCCCAGACUCCUACGGGAGGCAGCAGUGGGGAAUUUUGGACAAUGGGCGAAAGCCUGAUCCAGCCAUGCCGCGUGCAGGAUGAAGGCCUUCUGGUUGUAAACUGCUUUUGUACUGAACGAAAAGGUUUGGGCUAAUAAGCUGAGCUCAUGACGGUACCGUAAGAAUAAGCACCGGCUAACUACGUGCCAGCCGCCGCCGUAA